This is a long non-coding RNA of Acanthopagrus latus (yellowfin seabream), 1123 nucleotides long. RefSeq lists it as uncharacterized. The transcript is spliced from 2 exons. Lineage: Eukaryota; Metazoa; Chordata; Actinopteri; Spariformes; Sparidae. The record is from RefSeq and is a predicted model, not a curated record.
CUGUUUUGCUUACUGUCUGGGAUCUUCUUGUUUUUCAUGGACUCUAAUAUUACAAAAGGCUUUAUGGGGAUUAGACAAAUAGACAUUUCACAUUCCAACAACACCAGAUCCCCCUCCAGCAACCUUCCUGGAAAAAUAAUGGUCUCCAUACCAAACAUAUGACUGUUUUACUCCUUCCACCGUCUGCUGACCUUAUCUUAUCCACUGAUGGUAAAGGAAUCCCAUUUAUUUAAAGGGGAGUCGCAUACGUGUCUGCCGGUAAACACAUGCUGUACAGUAUAACCAGAUAUACUGGUAGCUAUUUCUUUUAUCUUCUAUCUCAGUGUCCAAGUGCUGGUUGUUUGUUCAGAUACUGACAACAUCACUCUGCGAAGCAACAGAUUUUAGAUGUCUGCUUUUCUUCCUCGAGAUCAUACUGCAGGGUCACAGAACAACAGUUCAAAGUUCAACAACACUUUACGCAGGGUAGAUGCUCCUUAGCACUAAACUUCAACCAAAAUUUGUCCGACCAACAGGCCAACAUGACUCUGGAUUCACUGAGAGCCAAAUGUCUUGUCAAAUCUCCUUUUUGUAAUAUGCAAAGAGCACUGUACAAAGCAUUCAGGUUGUUUUUCUAAUGUGAAUGUCAAUUUGUACGUUUUUAUCUGAAUGAUGAUAUUAUUCUUGAAAGAUUUUUAGUUGAAAACAUUUAAAAAUGAACUAGAAUUGUCAACAGAAUGUGGAAAUAAUAGUAAUUUUUGCCAUGAAUGACAUUUAGGUGUUCUGUUGCAGAGAAAUCUCGAAAAAAAAAACAAACCACUAACACAUAAUAUUAUCACAAACAUGUUUCUCAACAAUUUCUUGUUUACACAUCCAGCAGAAAAAUUAUGUUAUUAAAAUUCCAAAAAGAAAGAUUCAAGGAACACUUUAGGUUAAAAAGCCUGUAUUCGGACGGUUUUCUUUAUGGUGUAGUUCUUAAAAACAUUGACAAAUGUGUAUUAAAAUGGAAGAAUUGAUUUGUGACUCAGCCUUCUUCAGGUUCACCUGACAGAAGAGCACCGUCAUCACAUGUUGUUUGAACUUCCUCGCUCUCCAGACAUUCUUUUUGAUUAAAAAAAAAUCAUUUGGAGUCUUGUUUGAUGAA